UACGGAAGGUCCGGGCGUUAUCCGGAUUUAUUGGGUUUAAAGGGAGCGCAGACGGGCUGUUAAGCGUGCCGUGAAAUACUGGGGCUCAACCUUGGUGUGCGGCGCGAACUGGCGGCCUUGAGUGGGCGGUAGGUACGCGGAAUUCGUGGUGUAGCGGUGAAAUGCUUAGAUAUCACGAGGAACCCCGAUUGCGAAGGCAGCGUACCGCAGCCUUACUGACGUUCAUGCUCGAAGGUGCGGGUAUC
RNAcentral lists this ribosomal RNA (245 nucleotides) under uncultured Prevotellaceae bacterium. RNAcentral's name for it is "partial 16S ribosomal RNA". It matches the Rfam family "Bacterial small subunit ribosomal RNA", at positions 524 to 769 of the family's 1533-position model. The record is from RNAcentral. Lineage: Bacteria; Pseudomonadati; Bacteroidota; Bacteroidia; Bacteroidales; Prevotellaceae.